Molecule: ribosomal RNA, 254 nt
Filed under: uncultured bacterium
Lineage: Bacteria
Description: partial 16S ribosomal RNA
Rfam family: Bacterial small subunit ribosomal RNA
Source: RNAcentral
UACGUAGGUCGCAAGCGUUGUCCGGAUUUAUUGGGUUUAAAGGGUGCGUAGGCGGGCUUAUCAGUCGGCGAUGAAAUGGCGGGGCUUAACCCUGGCCGCUGUUGCCGAUACUGUAAGUCUUGAAAUCAGAUGAGGCUACCGGAAUGAGUGGUGUAGCGGUGAAAUGCGUAGAGAUCACUCAGAACGCCAAUUGAGAAGUCAGGUAGCUGGGCUGUAUUUGACGCUGAGGCACGAAAGCGUGGGGAGCAAACAGG